RNAcentral lists this ribosomal RNA (807 nucleotides) under uncultured bacterium. RNAcentral describes it as "bacterial SSU rRNA". It matches the Rfam family "Bacterial small subunit ribosomal RNA", at positions 638 to 1444 of the family's 1533-position model. The record is from RNAcentral.
UGACUNGAGUGCAGAAGGGGAGAGUGGAAUUCCAUGUGUAGCGGUGGAAUGCGUAGAUAUAUGGAGGANCACCAGUGGCGAAAGCGGCUCUCUGGUCUGUCACUGACGCUGAGGCUCGAAAGCGUGGGUAGCGAACAGGAUUAGAUACCCUGGUAGUCCACGCCGUAAACGAUGAGUGCUAGGUGUUAGGCCCUUUCCGGGGCUUAGUGCCGGAGCUAACGCAAUAAGCACUCCGCCUGGGGAGUACGACCGCAAGGUUGAAACUCAAAGGAAUUGACGGGGGCCCGCACAAGCGGUGGAGCAUGUGGUUUAAUUCGAAGCAACGCGAAGAACCUUACCAGGUCUUGACAUCCCGAUGCUAUUCUUAGAGAUAGGAAGUUACUUCGGUACAUCGGAGACAGGUGGUGCAUGGUUGUCGUCAGCUCGUGUCGUGAGAUGUUGGGUUAAGUCCCGCAACGAGCGCAACCCUUAUUGUUAGUUGCCAUCAUUAAGUUGGGCACUCUAGCGAGACUGCCGGUAAUAAACCGGAGGAAGGUGGGGAUGACGUCAAAUCAUCAUGCCCCUUAUGACCUGGGCUACACACGUGCUACAAUGGUCGGUACAACGAGUUGCGAGCCGGUGACGGCAAGCUAAUCUCUGAAAGCCGAUCUCAGUUCGGAUUGGAGGCUGCAACUCGCCUCCAUGAAGUCGGAAUCGCUAGUAAUCGCGGAUCAGCACGCCGCGGUGAAUACGUUCCCGGGCCUUGUACACACCGCCCGUCACACCACGAGAGUUUGUAACACCCGAAGUCGGUGAGGUAACCUUUUA